AUUGAACGCUGGCGGAAUGCUUUACACAUGCAAGUCGAGCGGCAGCGCGGGGGCAACCCUGGCGGCGAGCGGCGAACGGGUGAGUAACAUAUCGGAACGUACCCAGUCGUGGGGGAUAACUAUCCGAAAGGAUAGCUAAUACCGCAUACGUCCUGAGGGAGAAAGCGGGGGAUCGCAAGACCUCGCGCGAUUGGAGCGGCCGAUAUCGGAUUAGCUAGUUGGUGGGGUAAAGGCUCACCAAGGCGACGAUCCGUAGCGGGUCUGAGAGGACGACCCGCCACACUGGAACUGAGACACGGUCCAGACUCCUACGGGAGGCAGCAGUGGGGAAUUUUGGACAAUGGGGGCAACCCUGAUCCAGCCAUUCCGCGUGAGUGAAGAAGGCCUUCGGUUGUAAG
RNAcentral lists this ribosomal RNA (398 nucleotides) under uncultured bacterium. Its description in RNAcentral is "bacterial SSU rRNA". It matches the Rfam family "Bacterial small subunit ribosomal RNA", at positions 29 to 429 of the family's 1533-position model. The record is from RNAcentral.